GAUGAACGCUGGCGGCGCGCCUAACACAUGCAAGUCGAACGAGUGGCGAACGGCUGAGUAACACGUGGGCAACCUGCCCCCCGCACCGGGACAGCCUCGGGAAACCGUGGGUAAUACCGGGUAGCGGGGGAUGGGCCCGCGGCCUGUUAGCUAGUUGGCGGGGCAACGGCCACCAAGGCGUUAUGGGUAGCUGGGUUGAGAGACCGACCAGCCAGAUUGGGACUGAGACACGGCCCAGACUCCUACGGGAGGCAGCAGUGGGGAAUCUUGCGCAAUGGGGGCAACCCUGACGCAGCGACGCCGCGUGCGGGACGAAGGCCUUCGGGUCGUAAACCGCUUUCAGCAGGGACGCGGUACCUGCAGAAGAAGCCCCGGCUAACUACGUGCCAGCAGCCGCGGUAAUACGUAGGGGGCGAGCGUUAUCCGGAUUCAUUGGGCGUAAAGCGCUCGUAGGCUGCCCGCUAGGUCCGGGGUCAAUCCGGGGGCUCAACCCCCGCACGCCCCGGAUACCGGCGGGCUUGAGUCGGGUAGGGGAAGGCGGAAUUCCAGGUGUAGCGGUGGAAUGCGCAGAUAUCUGGAAGAACACCGGUGGCGAAGGCGGCCUUCUGGGCCUGACUGACGCUGAGGAGCGAAAGCUGGGGGAGCGAACAGGAUUAGAUACCCUGGUAGUCCCAGCCGUAAACGAUGGACGCUAGGUGUGGGGCCGUGCCGCAGCCAACGCAUUAAGCGUCCCGCCUGGGGAGUACGGCCGCAAGGCUACAACUCAAA
RNAcentral lists this ribosomal RNA (768 nucleotides) under uncultured bacterium. RNAcentral's name for it is "bacterial SSU rRNA". It matches the Rfam family "Bacterial small subunit ribosomal RNA", at positions 28 to 905 of the family's 1533-position model. The record is from RNAcentral.